Molecule: non-coding RNA, 148 nt
Filed under: Nomascus leucogenys (northern white-cheeked gibbon)
Lineage: Eukaryota; Metazoa; Chordata; Mammalia; Primates; Hylobatidae
Source: Rfam by way of RNAcentral
GCUGGGCAUGGUGGUGCAUGUCUGUAAUCCCAGCUACUUGGGAGGCUGAGGCAGGGGAAUCACUUGAACCCGGGAGGCGGAGGUUGCAGUGAGCUGAGAUCACACCACUGCACUCCAGCAUGGGUGACAGAGUAAGACCCUGUCUCAA